UUUCGUGCUUUAGGCUAGUCACUAGACUAUAUAAGUUAGCUAAGUCGUGAGUCUUGGAUAUAGAGACUAUAUAUAUUUUUUCAAUGUAAUAGUUUGCUUGCUUACCAAUAAAGCUCUGUUCUCCUUCAAUGUUUUUCCCCUUUCUUCUUCUUUGAUUUUAACAGGUUGCAUCUGUCUGUCUCCCCCUUUUGCCUUUUAUUCCCUUGCC
Molecule: long non-coding RNA, 208 nt
Filed under: Salvia miltiorrhiza (redroot sage)
Lineage: Eukaryota; Viridiplantae; Streptophyta; Magnoliopsida; Lamiales; Lamiaceae
Description: long non-coding RNA (SMIL_LNC013946)
Source: RNAcentral